UGCGGGGUGGAGCAGCUCGGUAGCUCGUCA
RNAcentral lists this transfer RNA (30 nucleotides) under uncultured Rickettsia sp. RNAcentral's name for it is "partial tRNA-Met". Lineage: Bacteria; Pseudomonadati; Pseudomonadota; Alphaproteobacteria; Rickettsiales; Rickettsiaceae. The record is from RNAcentral.